UCCCCAGUGGUUCAGUGGUAAAGAAUCUGCCUGCAAUGCAGGAGGCAUAGGUUUGAUCCCUAGGUGGGGAA
RNAcentral lists this transfer RNA (71 nucleotides) under Ovis aries (sheep). It matches the Rfam family "tRNA". Rfam says of the family: Transfer RNA (tRNA) molecules are approximately 80 nucleotides in length. Their secondary structure includes four short double-helical elements and three loops (D, anti-codon, and T loops). Lineage: Eukaryota; Metazoa; Chordata; Mammalia; Artiodactyla; Bovidae. The record is from Rfam by way of RNAcentral.